RNAcentral lists this ribosomal RNA (501 nucleotides) under uncultured bacterium. RNAcentral describes it as "partial 16S ribosomal RNA". It matches the Rfam family "Bacterial small subunit ribosomal RNA", at positions 30 to 523 of the family's 1533-position model. The record is from RNAcentral.
AUUGAACGCUGGCGGCAGGCUUAACACAUGCAAGUCGAGCGGAGAGAGGUAGCUUGCUACUGAUCUUAGCGGCGGACGGGUGAGUAAUGCUUAGGAAUCUGCCUAUUAGUGGGGGACAACAUUUCGAAAGGAAUGCUAAUACCGCAUACGUCCUACGGGAGAAAGCAGGGGAUCUUCGGACCUUGCGCUAAUAGAUGAGCCUAGGUCGGAUUAGCUAGUUGGUGGGGUAAAGGCCUACCAAGGCGACGAACUGUAGCGGGUCUGAGAGGAUGAUCCGCCACAGUGAGACUGAGACACGGCCCAGACUCCUACGGGAGGCAGCAGUGGGGAAUAUUGGACAAUGGGCGGAAGCCUGAUCCAGCCAUGCCGCGUGUGUGAAGAAGGCCUUAUGGUUGUAAAGCACUUUAAGCGAGGAGGAGGCUACUUUAGUUAAUACCUAGAGAUAGUGGACGUUACUCGCAGAAUAAGCACCGGCUAACUCUGUGCCAGCCGCCGCGGUAA